GAGAUAAUACUUAUACAGAUUUCUUAUGUAACUGCAUGGCCUUACAGAGGUUCAAAUUCCUUGGAUUAUGAAUCACUCAUAUAGAUUGAAGUUUAGAUGUGUGUCCAGAAGAGUACUUAUUCAUGCAUGGAAAUUUAUAGGCUUAUUUGAAAUCAGUGGAAUUAAUACACUUUGAAAGUCAAGACAUAAGUGUUUCAAAUUUCUGUUUAACUGUCUUGAAAUAAGCCG
Molecule: long non-coding RNA, 228 nt
Filed under: Bos taurus (domestic cattle)
Lineage: Eukaryota; Metazoa; Chordata; Mammalia; Artiodactyla; Bovidae
Description: long non-coding RNA NONBTAT018041
Source: RNAcentral